AAAAAUAAAGUGCAUGCCGAGGAACGGUUUGCCUCGAAAAAAAACCGUAAAAAAAAUAGUUGCAAAUAAUAAACAACACUACGCUUUAGCAGCUUAAAAAACUGAAUAAAGCCCUUUCUUCUCAGCCUUAUCUCUUAGGAAGAGAACCUAGAAAGGUCAAAUAAAGAGAAAACGUGAAUACUAAGCUUGUAUCAGUAUAAACGAAAAAAAUUUUCAAGCUAUAAAUCUAAUACGUGUUUUUCCAAAUUAGAUAAAGAAAUUCUUUAGAAAAACUAAGCAUGUAGUACUCUAUUCUAAGAAAUUUUGGACGCGGGUUCAAAUCCCGCCAGCUCCAA
Molecule: transfer-messenger RNA, 335 nt
Filed under: Buchnera aphidicola
Lineage: Bacteria; Pseudomonadati; Pseudomonadota; Gammaproteobacteria; Enterobacterales; Erwiniaceae
Description: partial transfer-messenger RNA
Rfam family: transfer-messenger RNA
About the family: Bacterial tmRNA, also known as 10Sa RNA or SsrA, is named for its dual tRNA and mRNA-like properties. Its role is to liberate the mRNA from a stalled ribosome. To accomplish this part of the tmRNA is used as a reading frame that ends in a translation stop signal.
Source: RNAcentral